AUGGUCGAAGGUUUUGCUGGAGACUUAUCUGGUCAGCUGAUGUGCCCCCAACAAUUCAGAAUUUUGCUUGGCGGGUGGCUACAGAUUCUCUGCUCACAUGGAGGAACAAACACAACCGGGGCCUUGAAUCAAAUGAUCUAUGCCCGUAUUAAUUCCAUGCAAAACAUUGGUAAAGAAUGGCUGCUACAUGCGUUACAGCCUCUUUCAGAUAUUGAAAGGUCCAUGCUACUAAUGUUGUUGUGGCGGGCGUGGCAUAUUAGGAACGAGGUGGUCCAUUACAAACCGCCACCGCCUAUGGAAGCCUCGAGGCGUUUUUUGGUGAGCUACCUUGAUUCUCUUGUCGGUAUUAAGAUUGACCUGCCCUUGGAUGUAAGCAAAGGGAAAUCUUUUGUCACUUAUGAUAACCCUUCUAACUGGUCAACUGCAUUUACAAGAGAGACGGGGCCUAAAUGGAGUGCUCCCAAGGCUGGCUGGGUUAAACUUAGUUCUGAUGGUUCUUAUGCAGAAGAUGGCUCAGCGGGCGCUGGCAUGGUGUUGAGAGAUGACAAGGGUGAGAUUAUUUUUUCCUCUUGUAGGCAACUUUUUUCAUGUCGAGACGCUCUUGAAGCGGAAUUAUGUGCAUGCAUGGAAGGGCUGUCGUUUUCGAUCCAGAAAAGUGAGCUUCCUAUCGAGAUUGAGAUGGACUCUAUUGUUGCAGUAAAGUUGAUCCAGGCAAAGGAGGUGGAUAGAUCAGUUUAUUCAUCGCUCAUUAAGGAGAUUAGAUAUCUCAUGUCUAUUCGUGAUUCGUGUAUUACUCAUGUUAAUCGUAGCCAAAAUAAAGUUAGUGAUAUCAUAGCUAGAUUUGCUCGUUUAGAAGGCAGAACCAUGACUUGGAUCGGUUCGGGUCCUACGGCUGCUAUGGAGCUUGCUACGACUGAUUACACGGUGGUGAAAGGAAUGAGGCUAGAUAACCAUCUAAAUAUUUCCCUUUACGUUAUGUACAAUGCUUAUCUCUCUGAGUCAGCGAAACCCCCCAAAGCCAGCCCAAAUGGUUGGGCUAUCCAACACCCGUCAAACCCAACCCAUAAGUGGGGUGUAUUUGGGGCUGCCUGGACAUGGCCAGACGCAGCCGCCACGUCGGACCCGAUAGACAUUUCCCUCCUCCACCCUUGCUCCGCUUUUGCGUCGCUGCCCUCGUCCGCCGUCCUAGAUGUCGACGGCCACUACCCCGUCCUACACUCCCAUGGACUAUUGCUUGACAGAGUUCGUGAGGGUCCCAAUCACUGCAAGCAAAUCGGAGUGGAGGGGUAG
Molecule: ribosomal RNA, 1290 nt
Filed under: Triticum aestivum (bread wheat)
Lineage: Eukaryota; Viridiplantae; Streptophyta; Magnoliopsida; Poales; Poaceae
Description: partial small subunit ribosomal RNA
Source: RNAcentral